UACUCGGAUAACCGUGGUAUUCUAGAGCUAAUACGUGCUACAAGUCCCAACUUCGGAAGGGACGUGUUUAUUAGAUUCAAAGCCAAUGCCUUUCGGGGCUCGCUGGUGAUUCAUAAUAACCGCUCGAAUCGCACAGCCUUGCGCUGGCGAUGGUUCAUUCAAAUUUCUGCCCUAUCAACUUUCGAUGGCUGGGUAGUGGCCAGCCAUGGUGACAACGGGUAACGGAGGGUUAGGGCUCGACCCCGGAGAAGAAGCCAGAGUAACGGCUUCUACAUCCAAGGAAGGCAGCAGGCGCGCAAAUUACCCAAUCCCGACACGGGGAGGUAGUGACAAUAAAUACUGAUACAGGGCUCUUUUGGGUCUUGUAAUUGGAAUGAGUACAAUUUAAAUCCCUUAACGAGGAACAAUUGGAGGGCAAGUCUGGUGCCAGCAGCCGCGGUAAUUCCAGCUCCAAUAGCGUAUAUUAAAGUUGUUGCGGUUAAAAAGCUCGUAGUUGAACCUCGGGCCUGGCCGGCCGGUCCGCCUCACCGCGUGUACUGGCUCGGCUGGGCCUUUCCCGCUGGGGAGCCGCAUGCCCUUCACUGGGUGUGUCGGGGAACCAGGACGUUUACUUUGAAUAAAUCAGAUCGCUCCAAGAAGGCCUUCGCCCGGAUGCAUUAGCAUGGAAUAAUGAAAUAGGACGUGCGGUUCUAUUUCGUUGGUUUCUAGGACCGCCGUAAUGAUUAAGAGGGACAGUCGGGGGCAUCAGUAUUCAGUUGUCAGAGGUGAAAUUCUUGGAUCUAGUGAAGACUAACUACUGCGAAAGCAUUUGCCAAGGAUGUUUUCAUUAAUCAGGAACGAAAGUUGGGGGA
RNAcentral lists this ribosomal RNA (851 nucleotides) under Meliola trichostroma. Its description in RNAcentral is "SSU rRNA". It matches the Rfam family "Eukaryotic small subunit ribosomal RNA", at positions 136 to 997 of the family's 1831-position model. The record is from RNAcentral. Lineage: Eukaryota; Fungi; Ascomycota; Sordariomycetes; Meliolales; Meliolaceae.